RNAcentral lists this ribosomal RNA (401 nucleotides) under Platyhelminthes sp. MM01343. RNAcentral describes it as "SSU rRNA". It matches the Rfam family "Eukaryotic small subunit ribosomal RNA", at positions 592 to 998 of the family's 1831-position model. Lineage: Eukaryota; Metazoa; Platyhelminthes. The record is from RNAcentral.
CAAUAGCGUAUAUUAAAGUUGUUGCAGUUAAAAAGCUCGUAGUUGGAUCUGAGGAUUGGGACGGAUAGUUCACUUUAUAGUGGUACUGUCUGUUCAGCCUACAUAGUCGUGGAUAUCUUUGGUCCUCUUCAUUGAGUGCCUUUGGUGCCCGACGCAUUUACUUUGAGAAAAUUAGAGUGUUCAAAGCAGGCUAUCGCUUGAAUAUUUCAGCAUGGAAUAAUGGAAUAGGACAUUGGUUCUAUUUUGUUGGUUUCUAGGACCGAAGUAAUGAUUAAUAGGGAUAGUUGGGGGCAUUAGUAUUCAAUUGUCAGAGGUGAAAUUCUUGGAUUUAUUGAAGACUAACUACUGCGAAAGCAUUUGCCAAGGACGUUUUCAUUAAUCAAGAACGAAAGUUAGGGGAU